GAUGAACGCUAGCGAUAGGCUUAACACAUGCAAGUCGAGGGGCAGCAUGGUCUUAGCUUGCUAAGGCCGAUGGCGACCGGCGCACGGAUGCGUAACGCGUAUGCAACUUGCCUCACAGAGGGGGAUAACCCGUCGAAAGACGGACUAAUACCGCGUACACCCUAUGUUGGGCAUCCAAUGUAGAGGAAAUGAAAUUCGCUGUGAGAUAGGCAUGCGUCCCAUUAGCUAGUUGGUGAGGUAACGGCCCACCAAGGCGACGAUGGGUAGGGGAACUGAGAGGGUGACACCCCACACUGGUACUGAGACACAGACCAGACUCCUACGGGAGGCAGCAGUGAGGAAUAUUAGUCAAUGGGCGAGGGCCUGAACCAGCCAAGUCGCGUGAAGGAUGACUGUCUUAUGGAUUGUAAACUUCUUUUAAACGGGAAUAACAAGAGUCACGUGUGGCUCCCUGACUGUACCGUAUGAAUAAGCAUCGGCUAACUCCGUG
RNAcentral lists this ribosomal RNA (490 nucleotides) under uncultured bacterium. Its description in RNAcentral is "partial 16S ribosomal RNA". It matches the Rfam family "Bacterial small subunit ribosomal RNA", at positions 28 to 507 of the family's 1533-position model. The record is from RNAcentral.